Long non-coding RNA from Cyprinus carpio carpio, 1244 nucleotides. The record is from Ensembl. Lineage: Eukaryota; Metazoa; Chordata; Actinopteri; Cypriniformes; Cyprinidae.
CUGAGAACUGUUUACAAUGCCAUCUAGAAAUCUUGUUGACUUUAGCACAGCUGGCUGUCCUGCAAACACACUCAUCCAGGAGAACUUAAGGACGGAGGACGCACUUUUGCAGCUUACUGUUGCUCGAGAACAGGGUCCAAUUGAAGAUGGAAGAAAAACUUUCAGAUGAAAAAUUAAAAUGUAUGCUCGCCCCUUGGAGGUUUUCCCUUAGGGCACCUGGAUUUGAAGACAGGCUGGUGACGGCUCUACAACUGUUUGAGCAUUUUCCUUUAGACAUAGCUGUGACUGGAGGAACGCCGGAGGCUAAUGCUCAGCUGGCUUCUGCAAUCUGUGGGAGGGGUGAGGAAAUCGAAGAGGAGGAAUGGGAAACUGAUGAUGAAGGUGAUGAGGAGGAAGAAACAGACGAGGAAGAAGAAGCAGAAGACUGGGAGGAAGAUGAAAGUGCAGAUGAGGAACAUAGUAUAAAGUCUAAGUACUUAAACACUAAUCUCCAGAGCAGCAGCAGGAGGAAACGUGUACGGAUAGCAGAGCAUGCAGAAUAUAUAGAGAGUAGCAUUCCUGAUUUUGACUCUGACUAUAAAUGUUCGUGUGUGGACUGUGCAGGGCCAUCCAACCUCAAAUUCCAUUAUUUACCAGACCGACCAGCAGUAUGACUCCACAUGCUAUGAUGUUCUAAUGGUUCUCACUACAGAUCAGUACAAUGAGGACCACAUGUGGCUCAAAAUGGAAUUGCAUGGCAGAGAUCAGCCUUUUUUUCUGGUUCAAGCUGAGCGGGACUGGGACGUGGUCGAGGAGAAGCCUACAGGGCCAUGCAUGACCUGCUCCUGGGAAUGAAUGAGAGCUCGCAAACUGGAGUUGCAAAAGAAAAGUAAAGAAGUAUGUGGAGAAACAGCCGAUUCAGAAGCAGACAGCAAGAAUACUUCAAACGCUCCCCAAGAUCCAGAGUUUGCGAAGAUGAAGGAUAUCGUGAAGGUGCUUGCUGAAGCCCUGCCUGAGCUUCGGAAGAAGGCUUUUAGUCAGUUUCUGGUGGUGAUUACAAAGGUACUUCGGAUUCCUAAAUUACUGUCCGAUGACACACAGUUUGUGGUCUCUACUGCUUUAAGGUCAAAGAAGAUAAACCAGGAUCAUCUUGAUCAGAUAACCAAGCUCUCGCAGCCGAGAGAUCUCACAGACAAUCCUUCAAAGCUUCAGGCCAUCCUUGCAGCUCUCGAUCACUUCCGGCUGGAUAUCAGUGUGCUGGGUGA